UAUUUUAAUUCCAGUUAGUUAACAGUGUUAUAUUAGUUUCAGGUGUACAAUAUAGUGAUUCAAUAAUUCCAUGUGUCACCCUGUGCUCAUCACAAGUGCACUCUUUAUCCCCAUCACUUACUUCACCCAUGCCCCCAACCAUCUCCCCUCUGAUAACCAUCAGUUUGUUCUCUAUAGUUAAGAGUCUGUUUCUUGGUUUGCCUCCCUCCCUCUCUCUCUCUUUUUUAUUUUCCUUUGCUCAUUUGUUUUGUUUCUUAAAUUCCACAUAUGGGUGAAAUCAUAUGGUAUCUGUCUUUCUCUGACUGACUGAUUUCACUUAACAUUAUACUCUCUUAACAUUAUAUUCUCCAUCCACGUGGUUGCAAAUGGCAAGCUUUCAUCCUUUUUUAUGGCUGAGCAACAUUCCAUUGUGUGUGUAUACACACACACACACACACACACAUAUAUAUAUAUUAUACAUAUCUUCUUUAUCCAUUCAUCAAUCGAUGGACACUUGGGCAGCUUCCAUAUCUUGGCUACUGUGAAUAAUGCUGCUAUAAACACAGGGAUGCAUGUAUCACUUUCAAUUAGUGUCUUUGUAUUUUUGGGGUAAAUAGCCAGUAUUGCGAUUGUUGAAUUGUAGGGUAGCUCUAUUUUUUAACUUUUUGAGGAAUCUCCAUACUGUUUUCCACAGUAGCUGUACUAGUUUGCAUUCCCACCACCAGUGCACAAGUGUUCCUUUUUCUCCACAUACUCACCAACACUUGUUGUUUCUUGUUUUGUUGAUUUUAGCCAUUCUGACAGGUGUGGGGUACUAUCUCAUUGUAGUUUUGAUUUGCAUUUCCCUGACGGUGAGUGAUGAUGAACAUCUUUUCAUAUUUCUGUUGGCUAUCUGUAUGUCUUCUUUGGAGAAAUGUCUAUUUGUGUCUUCUGCCUAUUUUUAAUUGGAUUUUUUUGUUUCUUGGGUGUUGAGUUUAUAAGUUCUUUAAAAGCAUUUUUUUUAAUUAUUUAUUUAUUUAUUUAUUUGAGAGAGAGAGAGUGCACGCGCAAGUGGGGGCAGGGGGAGAGGGAGAGGGAGAAGCAGACUCCCCACUGAGCAGGGAGCCCGACUCAGGCUCAAUCCCAGGAUCCCGAGAUCAUGACCUGACCUGAAGGCAGACCCUUAACAGACUGAGCCACCCAGGCACCCUGAGUUUUAAAAGUUUUUUAUAUAUUUUAGACACUAACCCUUUAUCAGAUAUGUCAUUUGCAAAUAUCUUCUCCCAUUCUGUAGGUUGCCUUUUAGUUUUGUUGAUUAUUUCCUUCACAGUGCAGAAGUUUUUUAUUUUGAUGUAGUCCCAAUAGUUUAUUUUUGCUUGUUUCCCUUGCCUCAGAAGACAUAUCUAGAAAAAGUUGUUAUGGCUGAUAAAGAAGUUACUGCCUGUGUUGUCUUCUAGGAUUUUUAUGAUUUCAGGUCUCCCAUUUAGAUAUUUAAUCCAUUUUAAAUUUAUUGUUGUGUAUGGUAUAAGAAAAUAGUCCAGUUUCAUUCUUUUGCAUGUUGCUGUCCAGUUUCCCCAACACCUUUUGUUGAAGAGACUUUUUCCCAUUAGAUAUUCUUUCCUGCUUUAUCAAAGAUAAAUUGGUCAUAUAGUUGUGGAUUUAUUUCUGGGUUUCCUAUUCUAUUGCAUUGAUCUAUGUGAUUAUUUUUGUGCCAGCACCAUACUGUUUUGAUUACUACAGCUUUGUACUUUGUAAUAUACCUUCAAGUCUGUAAUUGUGAUGCCUCCAACUUUGCUUUUCUUUUUCAAGUUCGCUUUGGUUAUUCAAGGUCUUUUGUGCUUCUGUAAAUUUUAGGAUUGUUUGUUCUAGUUCUGUGAAAAAUGCUGGUCGUAUUUUGAUAGGGACUGCAUCAGAUUUGUAGAAUGCUUUGGGUAGUAUAGAUAUUUUAACAAUAUUUGUUCUUCCAAUCCAUGAGCAUGGAAUGUCUUUCCAUUCCUUUGUGUCAUUUUCAAUUUCUUCCAUCAGGAUUUUUAUAGUUUUCAGAGUACAGGUCUUUCACCUCUUUGGUUGAGUUUAUUCCUAGGUAUCUUAUUAUUUUUGUUACAAUUGUAAAUAAGAUUGUUUUCUUUAUUUCUCUUUCUGUUGCUUCAUUAUUGAUGUAUAUGUACAGGAUUUUGUGUCCUGAGACUUUACUGAAUUUGUUUAUCAGUUCUAGUAGCUUUUUGGUCGGUCUUUGGGUUUUCUAUAUCAUGUCAUCUGAAAAUAGUGAAAGUUUAACUUCUUUCUUAUUGAUUUGGGUCCCCUUUAUUUCUUUUUGUUGUCUGCUGUGGCUGGACUUCUAGUACUUUGUUGAAUAAAAGUGGUAAGAGUAGACAUCCUUGAGUUGUUUCUGACCUUAGGGGAAAAGCUCUGUUUUUUCCCCAUUGAGGAUGAUACUAGCUGUGGGUCUUUCAUAUAUGGCCUUUAUUAUGUUGAGGUAUGUUCCCUCUAAACUUAUUUUCUGGAGGGUUUUUAUCAUGAAUGGAUGUUGUGCUUUGUCAAAUGCUUUUUCUGCAUCUGUUGAAAUUAUCAUAUCAUUCUUAUCCUUUCUCUUACUGAUGUGAUGUAUCACUUUGAUUGAUGUGCAAAUAUUGAACCACCCUGGCAACCCAAGAAUAAAUCCCACUUAAUCAUGGUGAGUGAUUUUUUUCAUGUAUUGUGGAUUUGGUUUCCUAGUAUUUUGUUGUGAAUUUUUGCAUCUAUGUUCAUCAGAGAUAUUGGCCUGUAAUUCUCUUUUUUAGUUGUGUCUUUAUCUAGUUUUGGUAUAAGGUAAUGCUGGCCUCAUAGAAUGAAUGUGCAAGUUUUUCAUUCUUCUAUUUUUUGGAAUAUUUUGAGAAGCAUAGGUAUUAAAUCUUAUUAAAUGUUUGGUAGGAUUCGUCUGUGAAACCAUCUCAUCUUGGACUCUUGUUUGAUGGAAGAUUUUUGAUUACUGAUUUAAUUUCUUUGUUGGUUAUUGGUGUAUUCAAAUGUUUUAUUUCUUCUUGUUUCAGUUUUGUAGUUUAUAUGUUUCUAGGAAUUUAUCCAUUUCUUCUAAGUUGUCCAAUUUAUUAGCAUAUAGUUUUUCAUAAUAUUCUCUUAUAAUUGCAUUUCUGUGUUGUUGGUUGUUAUUUCUCCUCUCUCAUUUGUAAUUUUAUUUAUUUGAGUCCUUUCUUUUUUUUUCUUGAUAAGUCUGGCUAGACGUUUACCAAUUUUAUUGAUUUUUUUCAGUGAACCAGCUCCUGGUUUCAUUUACCUGUUCUAUUGGGUUUUUUUAGUUUCUGUACCAUUUAUUUCUGCUCUAAUCUUUACUAUCUCCUUCCUUCUGCUGGUUUUAGGUUUUGUUUGUUCUUUUUCUAGCUCCUUUAGGUGUAAGAUAAGGUGGUUUAUUUGAGCUUUUUCUUGCUUCUUUAAGUAGGCCAGUAUUGCUAUAAACUUCCCUCUUAGAACAUCCCAUAGGUUUUAGACCAUCGUAUUUUCAUUUUCAUGUGUUUCCAUGUACUUUUAAAAUUUCUUCUUUUAUUUCCUGGUUGAAUCACUCAUUGUUUAGUAGCAUUUUAUUUAACCUCCAUAUAUUUGUGGUCUUUCAAGAUUUUUUCUUGUGGUUGACUUCUAGUUUCAUAGCAUUGUGAUCAGAAAAGAUGUGUGGUAUGACUUCGGUCUUCUUGAAUUUGUUGAGGAUUAUUCUGUGGCCUAGCAUGUGAUCUGUUCUGGAGAAUGUUGCAUGUGUACUUGAAAAGAUUAUGUAUUCUGCUGUUUUAGGAAGGAAUGUUCUGAAUAUAACUGUUAAAUCCGUCUAGUCCUGUGUGUCAUUCAGAGCCAUUGUUUCCUUAUUGAUUUUCUAUUUAGAUGAUCCAUCCAUUAAUGUAAGUAGGGUGUUAAAGUCUCCUACUAUUAUUAUAUUAUUAUUUAUCAGUUCUUUUAUGUUUGUUAUUAACUGUUUUAUGUAUUUAGGUGCUCCUGUGUUAGCUGCAUAAAUAUUUACAAUUGUUUUAUCUUCUUGUUGGAUUGUCCUCUUUAUUAUUGUAUAGUGUCCUUCUUUGUCUCUUGGUACAAUCUUUGUUUUAAAGUCUAUUUUGUCUGAUAUAAGUAUUGCUACCCUGGCUUUCUUUUGACAUACAUUUGCAUGAUAGAUGUUUCUCCAACCCCUCACUUUCAAUCUGCAGGUGUCUUUUGGUCUAAAGUGAGUCUUUUGUAGGCAGCAUAUAGAUGAAUCUUUGAAUCCAUUUGCAUUCAAAGUAAUUACUGAUAGAUAUGGGAAUGCCUGGGUGGCUCAAUCAGUUAAGUGUCCAACUCUUGAAUUCAGCUCAGGUCAUGAUGUCAGGGCCUGGGAUCAAACCCCACAUUGGGCUCCAUGCUCAGUGGGGAGUCUGCUUGAGAUACUCUUUCUUCCUCUCCUUCUGCCCCUCUCUCCACCCAUGUGCGCUCUCUCUCUUUUUCUCUCUCUCUCAAAUAAGUGGACAUAUCUUUCUUUAAAAAAAAGUAAUCACUGAUAGAUAUGUAUUUAUUGUCAUUUUAUUAUUUUUGUAGUUGUUUCUGACUAUUUUCUCUGUUCCUUUCUUGUCUUUCUCUCUUUCAUGGUUUGUUGACUUUCUUUAGUGAUGUAUUUGGAUUUCUUUCUCUUUAUUCUUUGCAUAUUUAUUAGUGGUUUUUAAUAUAUGGUUACUGUUAGGUUUGUGUAUAACACAACCUGCAUAUAGCAGUCUGUAUUACGUUGAUGGUUUAAGUUUGAACCAUUCUUUUCUCCUCUCUUCCCAUGUUUUAGGUACAUAUUGUCAUAUUUUACAUCCUUUUAUUUUGUGAAUUCUUGGACUGAUUUUUUACAGAAAUAUUCAUUUUUACUGCUUUUCUGUUUCCUACCUUCAUACUGCCACUUUAGGUUUCUCCUUUCCACUCAAAGAGUCCUCUUUAAUAUGUCUUGCAAGGCUGGUUUAGUGGUCAUGAAUUCCUUUAGUUUUUGUUUGUCUGGGGAAACUCUUUAUCUCUCCUAUUUUGAAUGAUAGCCUUGCCAGAUAGGGUGUCCUUGGCUGCAGAUUUUUCCCAUUCAGCACUUUGAAUAUAUCAUGCCACUCUCUUGGGCUUACAAAGUUUCUGCUGAAAAAUCCCCAACUAGCCUUAUGGGGGUUCCCUUAUAUGUUACUGUCUUCUUUUGUCUUCAUGCUUUUAAUUUUUUUUGUUUUUGUUUAUCACUAUAUUUUGCCAAUUCAAUUGCAAUAUGUCUUGGUGUGGAUCUACUUUUGUUGAUUUUGUUGUGAGCUCUCUGUACCUCCUAGAUCUAGAUAUCAUUUUCUUUUCCCAGAUUAGGGAAAUUUUCAGCUAUUAUUUCUUCAAAUAAAAUUUCUCCCCCUUUUCUCUCUUUUCUUCUCCUGGGACUCCUAGAAUACAAAUAUUAUUAUAUUUGAUGGAGUCACUGAGUUCCCUAAGUUUAUUCUCAUGUUGUAUAAUAAUUCUUUUUCUUUUCAUUCAGCUUCAUUACUAUCCUAUCUUCUAGGUCAUUCAUUCAUUCUUCUGCUUCUUCCAGCCUGCUGUUCAUUCCAUCCAGCAUGUUUCUUAUUUCAUUUAUUGGGCUCUUUAUCUCUGCUAUGUUAUUCCUUAGCUCUGUGUUAAAGGUCUCACUCAGGUCUUCCACUCUUUUCUCUUGAAGUUCAGUGAGUAUCUUUACGAUUACUACUUUAAAUACUCUAUCAGGCAUGUUACUUAUGUCUGUUUUGCUUAGAUCUCUGGCUGUGGCCUUGUCCUGUUCUUUCAUUUGGGAUAAAUUCCUCUAUCUUCUCAUUUUAUCUAAGUCUCUGUGCCUAUUUCUGUGUGUUAGGGAAAUCAGAUACAUCUCUUAUUCUUGAGGGUAAUGGCCUUAUGAAGAAGAGGUCCUGUAGUGCCCUCCCAUGUAGUGUUCCCUAUUCCCCAUGGCCUGACACUUCUGUGAGUGUCUCCAAUGUGUGUUGCAUGUGCUCUCCUGUUUUGUCCUGGCCACUUUAUCCUUAAGGCCAGUCAUCUGCAGAGGCUCUCUUUGCCCAUUGUGGGCAGGGUUUGGUCCCUGGGCUGAAUGUGGUGCAUUUUCACUAGGUGUGCUCUGCUCUGCUUAUGAAAUAAGAACUGUCACCACUACCACCAGAACUGAGGUUCUGCGAAACUUCUGAGUGGGGAGAUGAGGUGUGAACCGGGGUUUGGCCAGUCUCCUGGAGGGGGUCUGCUGUGCUGGGACUGAGCCAAGCCUGACUUGGAGGGGCAUUUCCACCAGAGUGUGGGGAGUAGGGCUUGGGGCAAGCAAGGUACAUAGCAAGUGAGCUCCACAUUGGUUCCUGCAGGAAGGCCUGUGCUUAUGCUGGGAGGUAGGGGAAGGAAAUGGCACUGGCCAGUUUCUUUGUUCUUGGAGUGGUCUGUCUGUAAAUGCUGUCUCUCCAGGACACACUCUGAGAUAAGUGAAUUACCCCCCCACUAAAUGCCCCAAGUGCUCUUCAGGCCGCUGUUUCCAUGUUGUACGUCCACUGGUUGUUUGCCUGCCUUCUCUCCAAGAGCAGCGUUAUGCCUUCUGGGAUUUAACACAGCCAACCCUGCUGACCUUUAAAACUCCAGGCUUUAAGCCCUGCUGGUUGCCAGAAGUCACAAAAUUUAUCCCCUUUCACUUUCCAAGCCAGUUACUGUGGGGAUUCCAUUUCCCUGGGAGCUGUCUUGUGUGCUAGUCUGUCUCUUGCCCUUCUCCAUAACCAUGGCUCCCUCUCCAUUACAGCAGCCAUGAUCCAUUUCUCUCCCAAACCAUGUCUCCAUACUUCCUGCCUUCUUCUAUGUAGCCUCUUCUCUCCCUUUGUUAUGGAGUUUGUUCUGCCAGUCUUAAGGUCAAUUUCUGGAGUAUUUAGGAUGAUUUGAUAGUCAUCUAGUUAUAUUCAUGACAAGAGGUGAGCCUCCUACUCUGCUGCCAUCUUCCAACUUCUCUCAUCCAGCCUUUCAACUAGUAACAGGAAGAACUGUGGCCAGAAUGUAGUUCUUCUGGAUUCUAUGCCAGCAUCCAUUCCACCAAGUCUCUCUCUGUGGUGCUUCCAGGGUUCUGUAUUGGCCUUAUGGAUAAGAAACAGAACUAGCAGCUGGGCAACCAACUACGGUUGUGCCCUGCACAAGAACAGCCCAUCGAGGCCGGGCACCCUGUACUGGUGCUUGUUCCUUUGGUAUUUUCUGCUUAGUAUGACUGUGCUAUGUGAGCUGGCUUUAACUCUGGCCAACGGUAUGUCCAACUUUGUGUGCCAAGGCUCCCCUGCUUCUUCUCUCUUCUGAAUCCUUUCAAGGUGUCCUCCCAAUUUAGCCUCAUCUGAGCUCUGUUGUGUACAGUGAAGACCAGUGAGUUUUUGAUGAAGCACAUCCAUAGAAUUGUGAAGAUUGAUGGUUUUUCCGAUAGUCUGUGUCCUCAAAGUAAGUUAGAUACGACUGGAAACUGUAAUUGCUUGUCCAAGCCACUAGGGUACCAUUUAGGAAAUUACUUCCUCAGUAAAAUUUAGUAAAUUACAGUUGUAAUUUAGUAAAACUAGGCUACUCUUUGGUAAAUUAGUGUUUCAGGGCAGUUGCAAUGAUGUACUGCACAGAACUUAGUGAAUGGUAUCCCAGUGACCUAUAAUGCCCCUUCUAGGUGGGCCUGUGCAAAGGGGAAAGCUUCUGUGUCAUGGGAAAAAUGUCCAGUUUAUUAUAAUUCAUGAGAAGGGAGAGACCAAGAGUCCUUAGGAGGUCAGAGGGUCCUCCCUGCAUUUGUUAAGGAAAAUUUCUCAAACAGCACAUGUAAAUAGCUCCCAAAUGGAUACAAAAUUCAGAGCAUUUCAUAGCUUUCAGGGACAAUCAAUUUGAAAGGAGGAAAGAAGGAAGGAAGAAAAAUUUUCAUGAUUGAUAGAAUGGGAUGUUUAAAGAAGCAACCAAAACGUUUUUAAUGGAUCCAAAUAUUCAUAAACACAUGGUAAGAAUGAUGGUGCUUUAUAAAUGCUCUAACAUAAAGUCUUGAUAAUAUACAGAUAAUGCCCCAGGGGACCUAUAAUGUGCUUCUCCUCAGAAGCUCAACAAACUGCUAUGUAAAUUAUUAGUGAUUAAUAUUUUCUACAUUAAUCUUAUACAUACAUUUAAUCUUCAAACAUUACUGCUGGCUCUUUUGCCAAUCUCCCUUCAGUCAUUAUUAAAUAAAAUUUCUCAUUUCUUUCUUCCUACAAACAUCCCUUUUUUCUUAAAUCUUUCAGAAUUUCUGGAAUAUACCAAAAGAUUUGAGAAAAAUCUGUCUUUGCUAGAAGAUACUCUGGCAAGUCAAUCCUUCUGAAAGAAUUAAUUUUUUUGAAAUCAGUGCCUACUUAGUUUUGCAAUUUUCUUUUAAAGAAUGCACUCCAUUUUAGAAGACUUUUGUUAAGGGGAACUUAUUCCUCAUCUCAUGCCCCAGAAGUUUUCUCUGCCCCUAGCUUGCUCCUCCCUGUAAAGGAGUGACUUAUUUGAUCAAUGUUUGGACCACAUUACUUGGAGGGCAUUGAUGCCCAUCUCAGCUGCUAUGGGUUGAAUUGUGUCUCCUAAAAAAAUACGUUGAAGUCCUAACCCCUAACAUUUGUGAAUGUGACCUUAUUUUGAAAUAGGGCUUUGCAGACGUACUCAAGUUAAGACAAGGUCAUUAGAAUGGGACCCUAAUCCAAUAUGACUUGUGUUCUCACAAGAAGAGAAGAAACACAGAUGCAUCUACAAGCUGAGAAUGCCAAGGACUGCUAGCAAACACCAGAAGCUAGGAGAGGCAAGGAAGGAUUCUUCCCUACAAGUUUCAGAGGAAGCAUGGCCCUGCUGACACGUUGGUUUUGGACUUCUUGCCUCUGGAACUGUGAGAGAAUAAAGGUGCCUGGAUUGUGCUGGACCCAUCAGAGCUGUAAGACCCGUAAAAGAGAAUCCAGUCCUCUGUGGAGCCCCCCUGAAAAUUUGGGGCACUAGACACAUAAACCAAACCCUUCUCUCCUCUGAGUGAACCUGGAAGCUAAGGGGUCUCUUCCUGAUUGUUGGCAUUGUGCCAAGGACAAGGUCUCUGGCAACAAGGUGUCCCAAAUCUCACUGCCAUAUUCACGGAGCCUGAUUUUAUGUUCUCCAAGGAUGUGACCCAGGAAACCCUCCGUGAAGGAAAUCUAAACCUGUUUUUCCCUGUGUUAUAAUAGAGAAAUACAGAAAUCAGUGAGAAGACCUUUGUUACCAUAGUCUUUCAAUAAAAACUACGUACAUGAGCCAGAUAAGAUGGGGAAACUGAGGCACAAAGGAUUAAAUAGCUUCUGGAGAUCACACUUCUGUUCAUGGUGCAGCUGGGACACACACCAACCUGGACUUGUCAAUUCCAGGACCCACACACUUACCCCACCAAGCACACUGCUCCCUGAGGGACAAGAACACAAUAUCGAACAGUGCCUGCAAAGGGCAAGGUGUCCUCUCUCUCAUUGCAAUAGUGACAAGUGGAGCUCUGAUUGCUCAGGAAAGAAGAGGUCAGUUCUCUCUGAGCUCCUUUUGAUCAUCACAGGACAGACACCAAAGAUUCCCUGAUACCCACCCUCCUGGCUCUUCUCCCACCUCACAGUCAUCCCUUUGCCAGAAUUGUCCUCCUCCAUGUACUGGGAGGCCCUCCCGUCUCUGUUCCAGGUGGCUUUUCUGAUCCCUGGGCCAUCUUCUGUGGAUUCCUCUGUCUUCCCACGAUGCACAGUUUGGUCCUGCAGUGCAAAGAUCCACAGGAAACUCAAACCCUCAGACUGUAGCUGGAAGACUGAUCCUGGCUUCCCUCACAUCCUCAAUCCUAGUGAGUGGGUCUGUGUUAGCCAGGGUUCCAUCAAGGAAGCAGAACCAUAAGGAAUGAUACAGAAUGUAGGAUUUACUGUGGGAUUUGACCUCACACAUCUGUGGGAAGUGGUUAAAGGGUUCAUGUAGAGCUGCUGCUUCCAUCUGGUGCUGGACUUGAAGUCACUGCUGGGCUAUCCCUGAAGGACAGAUGGACAUGAAAUGGGGAGAAGAAGGAACCCUGGCUAGAACCCUCAAAGAUGACCUUGGAACAAGGAACCCUAGCUAGAACCCUCAAAAAUAACCUCUUGGCUUCUCCCCAUCUCCAAACCUCCACCUGCAGAAACCAUCACUAUGGACAUGAGCAAACUCCUGACCCAACGGUCGAAGAGGCUAGAGCAGGGGAAUUGGUGGGGCUGACUGCUGCAGGCCUGGCUGCUGUCCCAUGCCAACGAGGUGACACAAAGCAUCUGGGACAGUGUGCCUGAGCUGCAAAGCUCCUGCACCAAGCAUAAACAUGAUGCAACUGCUACUUCCCUUCCACUUGCAGAUCUUGAAAAUGGGUCUGCUCAGCUCUUGCCCACAGUGGCUGAUAAGACCCAAACACCUGGUUUGGAGGAGUCCUUGAAACCUACCCAGCUGUCUCUGGGAUACUGUGCCUGUUAUGGGGUCUUCCCUUGGGCAGACAGGGGCUUCCUGAGAGGUCAGGGAAGGGAUAAGAAGGGAGGGAGGAACAAUGAAUAAAUCCCUCUCAUUCAACCAGUUCACCAUUAAUGGGAUAUUUCUUGUUAGAGGCUGAGAAUAAAGAAAUGUAAAAGAUACAUCCUGUCCUCAGAAGGUAGACCGUAUAGCAGGAACACAGCAAGUAAAUAGAUGAUCCCAGGUCUCAUCAUGCUGUCCCACGUCGUCUUACCUAAGGACCCGCCCUUACUACACUUAAAGAAUGGUCAUGGCCAUACUUACUCCUGCUUUAAAUGUAAAGAGGCAUCUCCCACCAUUAAGAUGGCUACCGUCAAAAACAGAAAAACCAAGUGCUGGCCAGGAUGUGGAGAAACUGGAACCCUCGUGCACUAUUGGUGGGAAUGUAAAUUGAUGCAGCCCCUGCAGAAAAAAGUAUGGACGUCCCUCAAAAAAUUAAAAAUAGAGAUGCCAUAUGAUCUAGAAAUUACACAGAUGCAUGUUUACAAAAAUAAUUGAAAGUAAGGGCUCAAAGAAAUAUUUAUGCCCAUGUUCAUAGCAGCGUUAUUCACAACAGCCGAAAGGUAGAAGCAACUCAAGUGUUCAUUGACAAAUGAAUGGAUAAGCAAAAUGUGGUCUAUAGAAACAAUGAAAUAUUAUUCAAUCUUAAAAACGAAGGAGAUUCUGACACUUGCGACAACAAUGAAACUUGAGGACAUAAUCUUUUUUUUUUUAAAGAUUUUAUUUAUUUAUAUGACAGAGAGAGACAGCGAGAACAGGAACACAAGCAGGGGGAGUGGGAGAGGGAGAAGCACGCUUCCCGCUGAGCAGGGAGCCCAAUGUGGGACUCGAUCCCAGGACCCUGGGAUCAUGACCUGAGCCGAAGGCAGACGCUUAACGACUGAGCCACCCAGGCGCCCGAGGACAUAAUCUUAAAUGAAAUAAGCCAGGCACAAAAAGACAAAUACUGUAUGAUCCCACUUACAUGAAGCACCUGGAGUAGUCAACUUCAUAGAGGCAGAACGUAGAAUGGGGGUUGCCAGCGGCUGGGGAGGAGGGAGGAAUGGGGAGUUAGUAUUUAAUGGGUGCAGACUUUUGGUUUUGCAAAAUGAAAAGAAUUCUGGGGAUGGUAGGUGGUGUGAAUAUACUUAACACUACUGAACUGUACAGUUAAAAGUGGUUAAGAUGGUACCUUUUAUGUGGUGUGUAUUUUACCACAAUUUUUUAAAUGUAAGGAAGAAUGUUGAAAGAGGGAGGUGUUUAUUGAAAAUACUUAAUUUCAUCAACCAAAACAUGUUUACCCUCUUUGAUAAGUUGGAGCAGCAGAGAGAGGCUGCCCCUGGCCUCCAGUCUCCCUUUCCUGUCUCAAGGUUCAUGUCUGGAAAACUAAAAUGGAAAUUUACUUACACCCCAGUGUGUGCUUUCUUUUGUUCUAAGUGUGUAACGAAGCACCCACUAUCUUCAUCAGUUCUGCUGGGUCAGCCCUGGAACCGGCAUGGUGACCCUGGAGGUGACCAAGUCCUUCCGAAUGGGAGAGAACAGUGUGAGGCUGAGGCUGGUAACAGUGAUGAAGAAUGUCCCUGAACUUUGAAGUUCAAUGAGCACUUCCUUUGGGGAGCUGGUUACCUGUCUGUGAACACUCCCACCCCAAUGGGUAUUGUUGGCGGCUUUAUGACAAUGUUUGUGAUUCUAUUGCAACAGUUAAAAUUUAUAAACUUACUUUCAGUAUUUGUAUCGCUGCUUUAUCCUUUGUUAAAUUAUCUUUGGACAAAGUGUUAUGAGAGAAGGUGAGGAAGGAAGGGUCAUUUCCGAAACACAGUGAAAACAGGUGCACCUGCUGUUCCUCAGGAGCCCUGGGUCCAUCCUCCCCUGAGCUUGCACUCAGCACUGAAGCACGGGUACCCUUGCAGAGCCAGCAUCUGAACAAGGAAUGGCCUGGCACCCCUUGCCCUCGUGGGUCCAAGUGUGGGGUCCUGAAGCCAUGGUACUCAAGCUAAGGGCGAAGUUUAGGAUGUCGCAAUAGCAAAUUGUGAUCCAAUCCAGCUUCAUCCUUACAAACUUGAAGAAGUCAAGACUGUAAUUCUCUCCAUUUUCCAGCUGGAGAACUAAGGCUUCAAAACAACAAAAUCAGUUUUGUUCAAGGGUCAUAGCCAGUGAAUGGGAGACAAGAGGCUUGCACCCAGGUGGUUUUCCAGACAUGAACCUUGAGACAGGAAAGGGAGACUGGAGGCCAGGGGCAGCCUCUCUCUGCUGCUCCAACUUCCCUGCCACACAGCCUGGGUUUUGGUUGGACGAGGAGACAACCACAAACACCACAGUGCAGAGCUCUGAAAAUCGGGAUUCCAGAUGGGAGGUCAAGGAUGCCUUGGUGCCUGAACAGAUGACUGCUUUGGGUUUUAAAUCUAGAAGGUGUUGAAAGGAAAGAAUCGGGUGGUUGGAAAGAAAGUCAAUACAGGCUAGAAUGUGUGUGUGCGUGUGCGUGUGUGUGUGUAGGGAAGGGUCUCUGCCUGAGCUCCCUCACCACACCACAUCCCUCUUCCUGUUUGUCUUUGCACCUGUGGCCUGAGAAUUAUGAUUUCUUUCCUUCCUUCCCUCCCUUCUUUCCUUCCUUCUGCAUUCCUGUAUUUCUUUCCUUCAUUUUUUUUUUUAUUUAUUUGAGAGAGAGAGAAUGAGAGAGAGCACAUGAGCGGGGGGAGGGCCAGAGGGAGAAGCAGACUCCCUGCUGAGCAGGGAGCCCGAUGCGGGACUCGAUCCAGGGACUCCAGGAUCAUGACCUGAGCCGAAGGCAGUCGCUUAACCAACUGAGCCACCCAGGCGCCCCUCCUUCUUCUUUUCACCUGUAGUUAUAAUUGUUAUUUUUGUACCAGUUAUAAACCAUGAAAUAUAUGGGAUAUGAGUUCCCUUUGCCUGUCAGCACUUCUACUUAUUAUUCACCUUUUGAUGGGUUUUCAUUGUCUUGGUCCACGUUCCACAGUGACGUUCUUCAAAGAUUCACAUGAUAUCCAUUCUCUCAUUUCUCAUUAUCAAAUACAAUUUUAACCAUUUCUAGCUUUGCUAUAACAGAAAAGAUGCAAGAGUUUAUCUCUUCUAUUUCCCGAUAAAGUUUGCACACGUGCACACACAUAUAGACAACGUAGUAUCUAGAAAACAAUCUAACUCAAAUUUCUGGCCAUAUAUGAAAUGUGUGGAUGGUGUAACCAUACAUUUUCUAGGCCUUGGGCUAUGUGUAAGGCAACAAGUCUCCACCUGAUCAGGGUUGUGUUUCCACAAAAUGUUAGAUUUGUUUAAAUGCUGUUCUGUCUCCAAUCAGAACAGCACAGGAUUUUACUGUAGCUUAGUGAUGUUAUUUUGGAGAACUGCGUGAGAUCUAACUAUAGAAUCUAAGAAAAUCUGUAUUAAAGGGGAAAAAACAAGCAUCAAUAUUCGCUGCUUUUUUAACUGUUUAUUUGGAAAUGAUUGUAGACUCACAGGAAGUUGUAAAAAUAGUACAUAGAGUUUCUUGAGCCCUCCAAUGGUGACAUGGCCAUAGCACAAUCCCAAAACCAAGAAAUUAACAUUUGGCACACACUAUUAACUAGACUACAGACCUUACUCAGUUUUACCUUUUUCUAACCUGCAUUUGUGUGUGUGUGCACACGUGUGUGUGUGUGUGUGUGGUUUUUUGCAGUUUUCCUCUGUGUACAGAUUCAUGUAACACCAUGUUCUGGACACAGAAUUGUUCCAUCAUUGUCGAUGAACUUUCUACCAUCUCUCUAUAAUCUCCCCCAUCUGCCCAACUCUUGAAUCAGUUCAUGACAACUCCUAACCUGUUCUCCAACUUUAUAGUCUUGUCAUUUUGAAGGUGCUUUAAGUUGACUCACCAUAUGAAACCAUUUCAGAUUGGCUUUUUUCACUAAAUGUCCUGCUCUUAAGAUCUACCAAGCUGUUGUGUAUAUCAAAAGUUUGUUCCUCUUAUUGCUGAGUAUUAUUCCAUUUUGUAGGUGUACCAGGGUCUGUUCAACCUUGCACACUUUGAAGGACUUUUGGCUGUUUUCACUUUUUUAUUAACAUGAAUAAAGCUGCUAUCAACAUUCAUAUACACAUUUUUGUGUGAACAUAACUUUUCAUUUCAUUGCAGUUUCAUAUGGUUAGUGCACAUUUAGUUCUCUAAGAAACAGCCAAACUACUUUCAAGAGUGACCAUAUCAUUUUUACAUUUCCACCAACAAUGUACUAAAGUUUCAGUUUCUUGACAUCCUUGCCAUGUUUGGUGUUAUCUUUAUUAUUAUUUUAGUCAUUCUAAUAAGCAUGUGGUGAUAUCCCAUUGUGGCUUAAAUUUGUAUUUCUCUAAUAGCUAAUGAUGUUGCAUAUUUUCUCAUGUACUUAUGUGCCUUCUGUAUCUCCUUUCGGUGAAAAGUUUUUUUGUUCAUGUGUUUUGCCCAUUUGUCUAAUUGGGCUUUUUUGUGUGAUUUUGUUUUUGUUUUUAUCAUUACUGUUUUUACUGUUACAUCUUGAGUAUUCUUUAUGUAUUCUACAUACAAGUCCUUUGCCAGGUAUGUGGUUUGCAAAUAUCUUCUCCUUGCCCAUGGCUUGUCUUUUCAUCAUCUUACAAGGAUCUUUGACAAGCAAAAGUUUUCAUUUUGAUGAAGUCCAGUAUAUUACUUUUUUAUUUAUGGAUUGUGGUUUGGGAGUGAAGUCUAAGAACUCUGCUUAACUCUACAUCCCAAAGAUUUCCUCCUCCAUUUUCUUCUAAAAGUUUUAUAGUUUUGUUUUACAUUUAAGUCUAUGACCCAUUUUGAGUUAAUUGUAUAAGGUGUGAGAUUUAGGUUGCAAUUCUUUUUUUCCCCUAUCGAUGUUCAACUGCUGUAAUAUCUUUUGUCGAAAGGUUAUCUUUUUUUUUUUUUAAAGAUUUUAUUUAUUUAUUUGAGAGAGAGAAUGAGAGACAGAGCACGAGAGGGAAGCGGGUCAGAGGGAGAAGCAGACCCCCUGCCGAGCAGGGAGCCCGAUGCGGCACUCGAUCCCGGGACUCCAGGAUCAUGACCUGAGCCGAAGGCAGUCGCCCAACCAACUGAGCCACCCAGGUGCCCCGAAAGGUUAUCUUUCUUACAUACAAUUGCUUUUACACAUUUGUCAAAAAUCAGUUGAGCAUAUUUGUGUGAGUUGAUUUCUGGAUUCUCUGUCCUGUUCCAGUGAUCUAUGUCUCUCCCUCUGCCAAUACCACAUUGUCUUAAUUACAGUAACUUUUAAAGUAAGACUUAUAUCUGCUAGAGUGAUUCCUUGCAUUUUAUUCUUCUUUCUUAACAUAUGCCUUUCCAUAUAAACUUUACAAUGGGCUUGUCUAUGUAAAAAAGACUUGCUGGAAAUUUGAUAUAUGUUGCAUUAAGAUUAUGGAAUAAUUUGGGAGAGAAUUGACACAUUCACUAUGUUGAGUCUUCCUAUCCAAGAACACAGUACAUCUCCAUUUGUUUAGAUCUUCUUUGAUUUUAUUCAUCAGUAUUUUCUAAUUUUGGCACACAGAUUCUGGACAUGUUCUAUUAGAUUUAUAUCUAAAUAUUUCUCUCUUCUUUUGAAAAUUGCAAAUACUAUUGUAUUUCUACAUUUUGGUUUCUGUAUGUUGUUGCUUAUAAAAAUACAAUCUAUUUUUAUGUGUUGAUCUUGUAUCCCACAACCUUACUAUACUCGCUUAUUAGUUCUAAGACUUUUUUUCUAGAUAUCUUGGGAUUGUCUACAUAAAGAACCACGCCAUGUGCAAACAGGGCCAGUUUUAUUUCUUCCUUUUUGUUCUGUAUCUUUUAAAAAAUUUUUUCUUGCCUUUUGGAGCUAAGAAUUUCAGUACUAUACUGAGUAAGAGUGGGGAGAGCAGACAUUUUAUCUUGCUCCAUAUCUUAGAGGAAAGAAAUUUGUCUUCCACCAUUGAGUAUUCUGUAUGCAGUAGGUUGUAGAUGCUCUUAAUCAAGUUUAAGAAGUUUUCUUCAAUUCCUAGCUUGCUAAGAGUUUUUCAUAAAAUGAUGUUGAAUUUUGUCCAUAACCAUAUCAAUUUUGACCAUAUCAAAAAUAAUCAUCUCCAAUAGCCAAAUCAUCUUGCUCCAUUCUUGAGUAAGAAGAACAAAGCUGGAGGUAUCACAAUCCCAGAUUUCAAAUGUAUGAUAAAGCUAUAAUAAUCAAAACAAUAUAGUACUGGCACAAAAAUGGACACAUAGAUCAAUGGACCAAAAUACAGAGCUCGGAAAUAAGCCCAUCCUUAUAUGGUCAAUUAAUCCACCACAAAAGAAGCAAGAAUAGACAAUGAAGAGAAGAUAGUCUUUUCAUUAUUUUUUAUUUAUUUAUUUAUUUAUUUAUUUAUUUAUUUAUUUUAUUAACAUAUAAUGUAUUAUCUGUUUCAGGGGUACAGGUCUGUGAUUCAUCAGUCUUACACAAUUCACAGUGCUCACCAUAGGACAUACCCUCCGCAAUGUCUGUCAACCAGCCACCCCAUCCCUCCCACCCCCCUCCACUCCAGCAACGCUCAGUUUGUUUCCUGAGAUUAAGAGUCUCUUAUGGUUUGUCUCCCACUCUGGUUUCAUCUUUUUCAUUUUUCCCUCCUUUCCCCUAUGAUUCUCUGUCUUGCUUCUCAAAUUCCUCAUAUCAGUGAGAUCAUAUGAUACUUGUCUUUCUCUGACUGACUUAUUUCCCUUAGCAUAAUACCCUCUAGUUCCAUCCAUGUUGUUGCAAAUGGCAAGAUUUCAUUUUUUACGGCUGCAUAAUAUUCCAUAUAUACCACAUCUUCUUUAUCCAUUCAUCUAUUGGUGGACAUCUAGGCUCUUUCCAUAGUUUGGGUAUUGUGGACAUUGCUGCUAUAAACAUUGGGGUGCAUGUGCCCCUUUGGAUCACUACAUUUGUAUCUUUGGGGUAAAUACCCAGUAGUGCAAAUGCUGGGUCAUAGGGUAAAGCUCUAUUUUCAACUUUUUGAAGAACCUCCAGACUGUUUUCCAGAGUAGUUGCACCAGCUUGCAUUCCACCAACAGUGUAGGAGGGUUCUCCUUUCUCCGCAUCCUCGCCAACAUCAAGACUAUGUUUUCAAUAAAUGGUUCUGGGAAAACUGGACAGCUACAUGCAAAAGAAUGAAACUGGACCAUUUUCUUACACCAAACACACAAAAAAAACUCAAACUGGAUUACAGACCUAGAUGUGGGACCCGAAACAUAAAACUCCUAAAUGAAAACAUAGGCAAUAAUCUCUUGGACAUCAGCCUUAGCAACAUAUUUAUGGAUAUAUCUCCUCAGGCAAGGGAAACAAAAGCAAAAUUAAACUAUUGGGACUAUGCCAAAAUAAAAAGUCUUUGCAUAGCAAAGAAACCAUCAACAAAACCUACUGAAUGGGAGAAGAUAUUUGCAAAUGAUAUAUCCGACAAGGGGUUAAUAUCCAAAAUAUAUACAUAAUUUAUAUAACUCCACACCAAAAACCAAGCUGAUUAAGAAAUGGGUGGAGAAUCUAUUCAGAUAUUUUCCCAAGAAGACAUAUAGAUGGCCAACAGACACAUGAAAAGAUGCUCAACAUCACUAAUCAUCAGGGAAAUGCAAAUCAAAACCACAAUGAUACAUCACCUCACACCUGUCAGGGUGAUUAGAAUCAAAAAGACAAGAAAUGACAAGUGUUGGCGAGGCUGUCAAGAAAAAGGAACUCUUGUGCACUGUUGGUGGGAAUGCAAGCUGGUGCAGCCACUGUGGAAAACAGUAUGGAGGCUCCUCAAAAAAUUAAAAGUGAAAAUAUCAUAUGCUCCAGUCAUUCCACUACUGGGUACUCACCCAAAGAAAAUGAAAACACUAAUUUGAAAAGAUACAUGCAUCCCUAUGUUUACUGCAACAUUACUUACAAUAGCCAAGAUAUGGAAGCAAUAUAAGUGUCUGUCCAUAGAUGAAUGGGUAAAGAAUUAUCUCGAGGGCUUUUAAUUGUUCUUAGCAGAAAGGAGCUGAGAGAAGUGAAUCUCCAUAGGCUUGUCUACAACCAGAGGCCUGACUGUUUUUUUAUGCUAAAGGUUUUCCCCUCUUGUACUUUGUAGCUAGAAAUUCCUGGAAUUUUUAAAAGAAUAUUGGAAUAAAGAACUUUUUUUUUCCAAACAUAUAAAUGUCUUGUAACAUGCUUAUUAAUAUGUGAUCAAGUACAGCAUAGGAAAUACAUUCAAUAAUACUGUAAUAACUUCAUCGUGACAGACGAUAUCUAUUCUUAUCAUGGCAAACAUCUCAUAAUGUAUAUAAAUGUAUAUAAAUAUGUUGUACAACUGGAAACUAAUAUAAUAUUGUAUGUCAACUAUACGUCAGUUAAAAUUGUUAAAAGUACACAGUUUGCAUUAGUCAACAUAAGAUGUAUAAAAAAAAAUGGGGCGCAUAGGUGGCUCAGUUGAUUAAGCGUUUGCUUUUGGCUAGGGUCAUGAUCCCAGGCUUCUGGGAUUGAGUCCUACAUGGGGAUAUAUAUAUAUAUAAUUAUUUUAGCAACUUAAUGUGAGCACUUUGAACAAAGCGAACUUUUUACUGCACUCUCCUUUUUUUAAAAAAAGAUUUUAUUUAUUUAUUUGAGAGAGUGAGUGAGAGAGAGAACACAAGUGGAGAGGGGCAGAGGGAGAGGGAGAAGCAGAGAACUAGAUGUAGGGUUUGAUCCUGGGACUCUAGGAUCAUGACCUGAGCUGAAGGCAGAUGCUUAACUGACUGAGCCACCCAGGCGCCCCUGCAUUCUCCUUUUUAAUAUCAUCAAUUUGGAGUCUGAAAAAAAAGUGACAUAGAAUUAGGUUAACAGAGAAAAUUUUAUUUUAGUUGAAAAUACAUUGUGAUUUCUGUGCCAAGGAAAUCAUGCAUUUGUGUGUUAAGUGACAGGGUCAUCGAAGGAAAGAUUUCUUUGGUUUGUUUCUUAACUUUUUGCAAUAUUGAAAAGAGAGUUUGGGCUCUCCUGCGGACCAGUGUCUCUGUGGGCACCAUCAUCCCGAAUCAAGACCCAUCUCACUCUUCUUUAACUAUGACAAAUGAUACUGCCACAGAGUACCCCCAAGUGUUUGCUAUUACAGACCACCUGUCACAAGUCUACCUGCCCAUGAGCCACCGUCACAGAGGAACAGGCCCCGGAACGGUGCCACAAGAGGGGCUGGAAGGAAUUGGGCAAGAGAAACACGAAAUCCCCUGGCUUAAAUCAGGCACUGUCUUUCACCCAUCAUCUCCAAUAUAAAUACAUUGCAUUUGCCAUUUGCCAAUAGUCAUCCAAGAGUCCAGCCCAACCAUUUCUUUGCUCAUCCUGUGUAUAAAAGCUAUGUGCUCCCUGAGAUAUGACUUACCUGCCUCGUUUUCAGAAGGUCCGCAGCCCUCUGACCCUGCCCAUGCAGAUUGAACAUGGGCUUAGCAACUUUUACAUCAGCAGCCUCUGUCCACAGCCUCUUGCAGCCAUGGCCGCUGUGGGCAGGCCCCAAGAGCAAGCUGCAGAUGUUGCAAGCCGUCCUGGGCACCUGGUCUGGAUUUCCUUGUGCCGCUUCUAUCUGUCACUUCUACCUCUGCUUUUUCCUGCCUGGUGUCUGCUUUUUCCACCUGUUCUUCAGGAUUGACAUCCUGGUACCUAUGACACUCGGGUGGGAGAUCCCCGUGGGAAGCCCAGUCUUGCAGGGGACACGGGUGACUUGGAUGUGACGCAGAAAGACUAGCUGUUCUGCCCUCGGCCCAUCUGGCCAUCAGGAGGUCAGCUACAUGGGGACGAGACUUGACAUACCUGGCUUGCUUUACUCCAGGCUCCUGAUUCAGGGACAGUGUCAGAUAUAAGACAAACAUUGGCAUGAGGAUUGCAUACAACAUGAAUGAAUUCUGAUUGCCGAAUAAGUAUACUUCCAGUUGGAGGAACACUGCAAUGACAAACUCCCAUGGGAGUAAAUUCUCCGGAAAAUUGCCUUCGGGGUACCCCAGGAUUCUGUGACUGUGCAGAGACUGGAAUCACCAACUGUCAGCUCUUCUCCAGGUCUGGAUGACAGUGCAUUUCAAGUCCCACUGGCGGGCCCAGCAGGCUGACUAAGCACAAGGACCAACUUUCCAAGGGCCUGCAGUCUGAGGAGGGAGUGACAGGGGAGAGUACUGAUUCCAACUUUUGAAAGAAAACACAGGAUGAACAUUAACUUUAGUUAAAUAUCUGUAAGAUAUAUUUUUAAUGUCAAAUAGUCAAUUAUAAUUCAACUGAUAUAUAGUGAGAUAAAAAUUGCAUUUGAUUUUGAAGGUGGGGACAUUUUGAUGUGUUUGGUAUGAUGGGGUGGGGGUGGGGGAGCUUCGGUGUUUUAAAAAGAACCCACAGCCAACUAGGAAAGCAGGACACAAAGAUAGAAGGGUGCAGAAGGAAAACCACAACCUCAAUAAGCUUAUACAAAAUUCUGCAAUCAGAAAUUUCAGAAGGCAGCCAUUUUCAUGUCUGUUUUGUUAAAUGGGAUGGGUGUUCCAUUAUGGGCUCAGUGGUCAGGGUCUAACCUGGGCCCUCCCAGUUGCAUGGAGGGCAACUUUCUGCCCCUGGCUGCCCCAGGCUGACCAUACCCAGCACCUCUGGUGCUGUGAGUGCUGAUGCCCCCAAAGAUGUGUUCUCCAGGAGCCCCUUCCUGUGCAACAGAUAUAAGUGCCCACCACAGGGGAGGGAGGAAGCCCCCAGGGCCACCGUGGAAGAGGCUUGGCCAGUUUUCCAGACUGGUGGGAGCUCAGCUCUGCCUGGAAGGCUAAAGUGUAGGAACUGCCAUCAUUCGAUGCUGGCUGUUAUAUCUGGGAUAAGGCCAGGACUCCACUCUAUUUGUCCCUGAGCAGGCCAGGCCCCCUACCUGGUGCUGCUGGGGCCUAAACCUGCAACCCACAGCCAGCUCUGCCCACCUCUUCCCACUAACAACUUCCCCAUGUUUGGAACUAUCCAUGGGGGUCUGUGAGCCUGGGACUCCCAGCCUCAUCCAUAUGUGUUCAGGAGUCCUGUGCAUGGAAUGGGAACACAGAUUAUAGGGAGGAAGUUGGAAGAGCUCUAGGGCUGUACCAUGUCCACAUAGCCUCCUGCCACUGGGGAAUAACAAGAGAGGAGGCUACCCUGAGAAGUGAAGCCAGAAGCACAACCUGGUGGGGUCCACAAGACAGAGCACCAUGGGGGAGGGCCCUUCCACUGUGUGUUCGGGGUCACACUGUGCUGCCCCCUUUGGAGGGUGGUCAUUCACCAUGAAACUGACUUAUCAAGUCUUAGCUGAGCCCUUUUGAUGAGCCCACAAUGUAAUGAGGAAUCAAAAAAGAGAAGUCUGCUCCAGGCAAGUGUGAUUUAUGGGCAUUAAUUGCAACCACGCUCAUUUCCUAUAAAGUCGGGAUGAAGCUGCUAUUGCUGAUGCAAGGAAAAGAUGUGUCUAAAAUAUUGGCUGGUGUUGUCAAUACUGGGAGCUCUUGGGCCAGGUCCCUUCUGCGUUGUGAUGAGGUAAGGCUAUUUGGGAAGGAAAAUGCCUCCAGAACAUAAAUCUAUUUGACACCAGAUGUCUACUUCCCAUGGGGAGCCAGACCCUACUAUGAAGGAGGCCAGAGAUGCAGACAUGGAAAAAGUAGAGCCGAUCCGUACUUCAAGGAGAGAAAGGAUCAAAAACUGCCUUGGGUUAAGGCAGGCCCUUUGCUGGAGGUCGUUACAAGCUCAAAUCCUGCUCCCACAUCUCUCACCAAAACUAUAGCUCUUAACAGCGAUGUAAAAACAAUAUUGUCAUCUGUCGUCAUUUGGAUCAUGAGCAAAGGCAAAGGCUUUGAAUGAGCUUCUGCAGUUUGGCUCAGCACAUGGGUUCUGGCCAUUCAGCAUGAGAAUAUGUCCCAGGCACUGCUGGUCAGAUAAGAGGCCCUUGGAGCAUGUCAGAGCCCAGUCAAGCCCCACCUAGAUCAGCCAAGCCCAGUGGACCCACAGAGCCGUGCAUGAAGAAUCAAUGCUUACUGCUGCAAGCCACUGAAACUUUGAAAUUAUUUAUUCCACAGCAUUAUUGUGUCCAUCACCAAACCCAGGACUUUAGAGAAGUAAUGCUUCUGCCACUGUCUCAGAAUUAUUUUAUAAACAACACAAACACCGGCAUAGUUUGCUUUCUCUCGUGUCUUCAAAUAUUACAUUACUCUCCAGUCUGACUCAGGGGUUAUUUUAUUUUUAAAGCUACCUCCUCAGUAUAUAUAAUUUGGCCCUAAUUUUGUAAAGCAUGAAUAUAUAUACAAUCUCCAGAGAUGAGAUUGAAGUGCUAAAGAUGGUGUCAGUGGUAUUUCUGGGUUGAGGGGUCUAGAGUGACUUGCGUAUCACCUUAAAAAUUUUCUGUGUUUUCCAAAUUUUCUAUCAUAAAUAAUUAUUUGAGAAUCAGAUCGAUCUGCCUGAUUUUUAAACAGGUAAAGUUUAACAUAAAUAUAUUUUUUCAUAAAUAUAUUUUAAACAUGAAGCUUACUUCCUCAGAAACUUUGUGUGUCUGUCAAAAGCACAAACCAGGAAGAUGAGUAAAUCCUCACCCACUGCAGUCACUGCUCACUUUUUUACAAAAGAGGAAACUGGCCGGAAAUCUCAACAAAAAGAUUUUCAAGUGUGGUGGGCCUCUUGUGCUUAGGAUUUGAUGGAAGAAAAAAUUGUCCUUGAGAUCAGAUCUUGAUUAAAUACAAUUAUACUUUGGUGUAAUGCCAGUAAAUCAUUGCAAAGAUCCCAUUUGGACAUUUACAGUGAGCAGGGAAACAGUGAGCAAGCCUUGCUAGAUCCAUUUCUCAGAAGUGCAUCAGGUAGCCCACUUUCUCUCCAGAAAUUGAAAGUAAAAUCAGAUUUAUCUAAAAGUCACCUUUUCCAUGAAUGUGUCUAAAUGGGUAUGUGAGGUUAUGAAUAAUACCUUUCUGUUUUAGAACCUGCCCAAAUCAGAGUGAUUGUCCUUCCUAGAUUAGACCAGACUCUCUUUUUCUGAAGUGCAAUAAAAGAUGGAAAUUUCAUAAUAUCAAGAGACAGAGAACACUGUCCAUUGCAAGGCUGAGGAAUAUCCCAAUACAUCCUUUCGUCUUUGUCAGGGAAACAGAACCACCAGGAUGAGGGAUCUAUGAUGGGAACAAGACCUUACCAGCUACCAGAGGAACCAGAGAACUGAAGGUCUGAGAGGGGAAGUUGGAGGAUCAGAGGGCUGACUAAUAAGCCAGCCUGACCAAUAAGUCAAGCACAUGCCACCACCAACAUCCACGAAGGGGAAGAAGGAGUCUACGGGAAGCUGUUCCUUGUGUGGGUUUUCAACCAAGCAUCUAGAGGUGGUCUGGGGCUGCUGUUGGGAGCAAGAGAUGGACGUGUGGCAGAGGCAAGCGAGGAUGAGCAGGAUCCUGCUGGGCAACUCCAUGUGCAUCUGUUCCCAUAUCUAACCAUGCCAACCUUCAGAGAAUAAUGGUGGCUGCCCAUUGGCCAGAAGUGGCUCAGUCCAUGCUGUAAUGAAAGAUGGGGAGGUGAAAGGAAAUCUGGCUCUGUCAGCAAAGAAGAGUGGCUAUUAGAUAGGCAGCCAAGAGUGCCUGUGACAGAACCAGAUAAUUUAAUUAAUUCAAAUAAUUCAUGGCUGUGGGGGACUGACGUGGGUUAGCACCAUCCCUGGCCUCUCCCCACAAGAUGCCAAGAGCACACCCUUUCUCCCAGUGGUGACAACCAAAAAUGUGUCCAGACAUUGCCAAAUGCCCCUGGGGUGGUGGCAGGCAAAGUCAUUCCAUUUAAGAAACUUCUGUAUCACAAAGGAUUGAACCAAUAUUUUAGAAGGUAGUAAUGCUUAUUCAAUCAUAUUGGCCUAACCAGAAACAAGAACAACAACUUGGUUUUUAAUAAUUUUUAAUGAGAAUAAAGGUGCUUCUGUGCAAUUAAUAAACAACAGAGACUUUAAAAAAUAUUUUAUUUGAUCUUUAUCUUUAAAAAACUUUUUAUUGAAAUAAAGCAUAUAUAGAGAAAAAAGUAUAAAUCAUGAUAGUCUUCUGUUUAGUGGGUCAUCACUUAGAGGACACUCUAAGUUAAAACUAUGCUUUUUACAUCUGCUUCAAAUGUGUCAAAAUGGAAAGCUGUAUUUCAACCAUAAGUGGUUCAAACCAGCCAACGCUGAUAAAUGUCUAAGAAUCAUAAUGUGCCAGACUCUUAUUGGACCUGAAGACCUGAAAGAGAAGACUCAUUCCUGACCAAUGACAAGAGGGACCUGUGUUUUAAGCCUUGUAUGGACUUAUGGACUCAAGCCACCUAUUCCAUUGUACAAGCUUUAAUUCUUGAUUAGUAUAAUCACAAUGAACUGACCUUUUAGCAAAAAAAAGCCCUAACAUUUUCCUUCAAAGAGCCACUCAGUGGCUCUCCCCACGGGUGAGUAUACUAUUGCUUGGCAAGUAGAUAAAUCCAAGAUUCUAUUUUCUCAGUUGCUGGGGAGCUCAUUUCUUUCUUUUAACAAUCCUGGAGGUUCCACCAAGAUUGCAUUGUAGAUUCUGCUCAUCUGGAGCAGCAGAUAGCCCAAUGCAGGGAGUGUGCCCAUAGUCAGGGAAUCUGCUGCUUUUUUGGUGGUGAAUCACUCAACAGCAGUAAUAUCUUUCCUUCUUAGUCAUCACUGGAGUCCUGGUCAGCAAUAUUCAUCGCAUGACACACGGUAUGAGAUUUUAUUGUGAUGCUGAAGGGUUGAUUGAGUCUCCAACUUUAACUUGUAAUCUCUUAACUAUCUGCUGGAAGAAAUGUUCAUCACUGGACCUGAGAACAAGGAGUUAAUUGAGCUACUGAACACCCCAUCCAAACUCUAUCUGCAGAGUCUCCGUAGAUCUAAAUCUUGUGUAUUCUAAUUAUUGACUGUACCUUCUCAUUUAAAAACACAUCAACUCAUAAAAACCAAUGCUGGCCAGAAUACUGGGCCACUUUUGA
Long non-coding RNA from Mirounga angustirostris (Northern elephant seal), 25238 nucleotides. RefSeq lists it as uncharacterized. NCBI's taxonomy places the organism in Eukaryota, Metazoa, Chordata, Mammalia, Carnivora, Phocidae. The record is from RefSeq and is a predicted model, not a curated record. The transcript has 4 exons.